Molecule: ribosomal RNA, 253 nt
Filed under: uncultured bacterium
Lineage: Bacteria
Description: partial 16S ribosomal RNA
Rfam family: Bacterial small subunit ribosomal RNA
Source: RNAcentral
UACGGGGGGAGCAAGCGUUGUUCGGAUUUACUGGGCGUAAAGGGCGCGUAGGCGGUAGCACAAGUCAGUUGUGAAAUCUCCGGGCUUAACUCGGAAAGGUCAACUGAUACUGUGCGACUAGAGUGCAGAAGGGGCAACUGGAAUUCUCGGUGUAGCGGUGAAAUGCGUAGAUAUCGAGAGGAACACCUGCGGCGAAGGCGGGUUGCUGGGCUGACACUGACGCUGAGGCGCGAAAGCGUGGGGAGCGAUCCGG